CCGUACCGCAAACCGACACAGGUAGUCAAGAUGAGAAUUCUAAGGUGAGCGAGCGAACUCUCGUUAAGGAACUCGGCAAAAUGACCCCGUAACUUCGGGAGAAGGGGUGCUCUUUAGGGUUAACGCCCAGAAGAGCCGCAGUGAAUAGGCCCAAGCGACUGUUUAUCAAAAACACAGGUCUCUGCUAAACCGUAAGGUGAUGUAUAGGGGCUGACGCCUGCCCGGUGCUGGAAGGUUAAGAGGAGUGGUUAGCUUCUGCGAAGCUACGAAUCGAAGCCCCAGUAAACGGCGGCCGUAACUAUAACGGUCCUAAGGUAGCGAAAUUCCUUGUCGGGUAAGUUCCGACCCGCACGAAAGGCGUAACGAUUUGGGCACUGUCUCAACGAGAGACUCGGUGAAAUCAUAGUACCUGUGAAGAUGCAGGUUACCCGCGACAGGACGGAAAGACCCCGUGGAGCUUUACUGUAGCCUGAUAUUGAAAUUCGGCACAGCUUGUACAGGAUAGGUAGGAGCCUUUGAAACGUGAGCGCUAGCUUACGUGGAGGCGCUGGUGGGAUACUACCCUAGCUGUGUUGGCUUUCUAACCCGCACCACUUA
Molecule: ribosomal RNA, 597 nt
Filed under: Staphylococcus aureus
Lineage: Bacteria; Bacillati; Bacillota; Bacilli; Caryophanales; Staphylococcaceae
Description: partial 23S ribosomal RNA
Rfam family: Bacterial large subunit ribosomal RNA
Source: RNAcentral